This 966-nucleotide unclassified non-coding RNA is filed under the name Leishmania donovani. RNAcentral describes it as "gene:LdHU3.31.0090(CDS-product:hypothetical_prote in_conserved)". Lineage: Eukaryota; Euglenozoa; Kinetoplastea; Trypanosomatida; Trypanosomatidae. The record is from RNAcentral.
CAUCUAUCCUUUUUUUUUUCUGUUUCUGCCCCUCGCAUAUGCACCGGAGCGACGCCGCAGAAUAGCAUGACAAACUUUGUGAGGAAAGGGGCGGCAGGCCGUGUGAACGCAGCGCGGUUGUACGCCUUCAACAAGACGCUCAAAAAGGACGCGCUUCGGGAGCGCACCUACUGGGAGGAGAACAAGGACACCCACCCCAUCAACCGCUGGUCCUACCGCCGUUGGAAGGAGCGCAACGAGGAGCUGUCCAUGUUCGAGGAUAAACUGAGCAAGGUGCCGGUGGAUCAGAAAUUCAAAAUCAAGAAGCUCCUCACCGUGGCCAACGUGUCCGUCAUCGGCCCCAUCGUCUUGGUUGUGUAUUUCACAUUCUGCUACUUCCGAUAUCGCUGGUGGGGCAUUACGCCCAUCGACGGCACUAGCGCCAUCGCCCGCGCCAUCCAGAACCUUCCACGACCACCAGGCUACUAAUCUACCGGCAGAAGACGCAGUCCUCCCCCCCCUUCUCGUCUGCUGGCCUCAUUGUUAUGUCGACGUCGCGCACCUCGUCAAGAACGAAAACGGCCACGGCAUUAACACAUCAGCGGGCUUUCGUGCGUGGUGCGUGAGAGGUGAGCAAAUGAGCACCGCCACCAACGCUCUCGCCACCAGCGUACGCACACGCCUGCGCUGUCCCCCUGCCUAUCACCCUCUUACUCGCAGAUGCGCACCUGAUGCACAGCCUGCCAACCAACAAGGUCGUCUCUUUUCCUCUCUCUCUCUACACCGCCCCGUCUCCGGCGCGUCGUUCUUGUUGCCUUCACCUUUUCCCAUCCUCUUCUAUCUUCUUUGGGCUCCUCAACCGGUGAGCGGGCCCCGCCCUUCGCCUCUCCUCGCCUCCGUGUGCUUUUUUGUGGUUGUCGUCCUUUGCCUGUCCUACGCCGAUUCUUUCGCGCCCACGCCCGCCUCCUUUCUGUGUGGUCGGGAAAG